AUUGAACGCUGGCGGCAGGCCUAACACAUGCAAGUCGCGCGGUAACAGGGAUAGCUUGCUAUCUGCUGACGAGCGGCGGACGGGUGCGUAACGCGUAGGAAUUUGCCCGGUAGUGGGGGAUAGCCCGGAGAAAUUCGGAUUAAUACCGCAUACCUUCUACGGAAGAAAGCAGGGGAUCUUCGGACCUUGCGCUAUCGGAUGAGCCUGCGUUGGAUUAGCUAGUUGGUGGGGUAAAUGCCUACCAAGGCGACGAUCUGUAGCUGGUCUGAGAGGAUGGUCAGCCACACUGGGACUGAGACACGGCCCAGACUCCUACGGGAGGCAGCAGUGGGGAAUAUUGCACAAUGGCGCAAGCCUGAUGCAGCCAUGCCGUGUGUGUGAAGAAGGCCCUAGGGUUGUAAAAGCACUUCUAGCGAGGAGGAAGGGUAGUUUGCUAUAUCAAGCUGCAUUGACGUUACUCGCAGAAGAAGCA
RNAcentral lists this ribosomal RNA (472 nucleotides) under uncultured Pseudomonadota bacterium. Its description in RNAcentral is "bacterial SSU rRNA". It matches the Rfam family "Bacterial small subunit ribosomal RNA", at positions 30 to 492 of the family's 1533-position model. Lineage: Bacteria; Pseudomonadati; Pseudomonadota. The record is from RNAcentral.